UGAUCACCGACCCAUGGGAAGCCAGAAAAACUCGUCAACUGAUGUGACUAAUCAUCAUUCGAUGGGGGCAAUAGAAGUUAAAACAUGGCCGGAGAUCUCUGCAGUUACAAAAUCAGCAUCUCACAGCAAUUUUGCUGUUUUGGUGCAUCUCAAAGCCCCUCGUGCUGUUGGCCUUCUAAACCAGAGUGGGAUGCCAGUUACAGGUCAGAAUUCCCGAGCUCCGGUUGAUCUUGUGACUGUUCUUGAUGUUAGUGGCAG
Molecule: unclassified non-coding RNA, 258 nt
Filed under: Hevea brasiliensis (rubber tree)
Lineage: Eukaryota; Viridiplantae; Streptophyta; Magnoliopsida; Malpighiales; Euphorbiaceae
Source: RNAcentral